CUGGAGGCAGCUCUGCAGGUGGGGUGUCACCUGAGCGGGACAGAGGGGCAGAAUCCCCCCCCAAAUGCUGCCCACGGCGCUUUACAUGCGGCGCUUUCUCGUGGGGGAGCGGCGGCGGGCGCGUGGCCGGUGCAGGCGGCGCCGUGCCCGGGGCUGCCCCUCAGAGCCCUCGCCACAGCGCCCCCUGUGGGCCGGGGGUGUCAGGCCGUUCCUUCCCUCACGGGGAACCGGGAAUAGCACUGGCUCCUUCUCUUUCUUCUCCUUCUCCUCCUUCUCCGUGCUCCACGUGUGAAUGCCUUCGGGUUUGUGUUUCUCCGAGCCUCUGCCGCGGGCGCGGAGCGCCGGGAGCAGACGCGACUCCAGCUCCGGGCCCCCCCAGCCCGUUCUGUGCUCUCCCCACCCGGACUGAGUUACGGACAAAAGGUGAAGAUCUUUGGAUUGCCUGCAAAUCCAUCGCUCAGUUAUGUGGAAACGGUCUUAGGAUAAGUGGAAGGUUUUGCUGCAGAUGAAAUAGUAUGAAGGUGUUUGGAAUAACAGUCAGAUUCUAGGAACAGUCAUGAAAACUGCAAUCCUGAAAGUAAGAUUUUUCUAAUGUUAAAUUUCAUAUUUGUAUCCUGUGAAUUCUAGUUCCUUUAUUUACUAUUUCAAACAAUGUGUGAAUUAAAUAUCUGUAAUUUCUUGGGAGCUACAAUCUCAGUGGAAAGGAAGCAGUUGUUGUUUUACAUUAAUUACAUGCAUUACUUUUCUUUAUUCCUGGCUCUGCACCUCUCACCUGUGCACGUUCAGCACACAGGGUGGGCUCAGCUCUCCUUCCACUCCCAGGAGACCUGUUGACCUGUGGGGAAAAAUCGGAUUUUUGAGUUUUGCUUUCCGUUUGAUGGCACCACACUCGCGUUGUGGAGAACAGAGCAGCCAGGUUGGAAGCUGCAGUGAUUCCUCAGUGCUCACAGAGACAAGUGUAUUUCAAACUGUAUUUCAGCAGGGAAGGGGGCAUUAUGCCAUUCAUGUAGAGACAUUAAUGUAGAGAAGUAUUCCAAAUAAAUACAAAUCUGGACAACAGCGGGGAGGACACAGAUUUGCAAUGUCUAAAUUAAUAUUACACAGAUGGAAAAAUACUGCUGGUAAUUUGAAGGCUGUAAGCGUGUAUCAAACUUUAUUUAAAAUGUUCAAUACCAAGAGUGUGUGUGGCCUCUUUUCUGACUGAAAUAUAUCAAGUGAAAUAUGUGAAGUCUGAAAUAAAUCAAUAUCAAAUUCUGAAA
Parus major (Great Tit) is the source of this 1259-nucleotide long non-coding RNA. RefSeq lists it as uncharacterized. The record is from RefSeq and is a predicted model, not a curated record. The transcript has 2 exons. Lineage: Eukaryota; Metazoa; Chordata; Aves; Passeriformes; Paridae.